CAUGCAAGUCGAACGAUGAACCAGGAGCUUGCUCUUGGGGAUUAGUGGCGAACGGGUGAGUAACACGUGAGUAACCUGCCCUUGACUCUGGGAUAAGCGUUGGAAACGACGUCUAAUACCGGAUACGAGCUUCCACCGCAUGGUGAGUUGCUGGAAAGAAUUUUGGUCAAGGAUGGACUCGCGGCCUAUCAGCUUGUUGGUGAGGUAAUGGCUCACCAAGGCGACGACGGGUAGCCGGCCUGAGAGGGUGACCGGCCACACUGGGACUGAGACACGGCCCAGACUCCUACGGGAGGCAGCAGUGGGGAAUAUUGCACAAUGGGCGAAAGCCUGAUGCAGCAACGCCGCGUGAGGGACGACGGCCUUCGGGUUGUAAACCUCUUUUAGCAGGGAAGAAGCGAAAGUGACGGUACCUGCAGAAAAAGCACCGGCUAACUACGUGCCAGCAGCCGCGGUAAUACGUAGGGUGCAAGCGUUGUCCGGAAUUAUUGGGCGUAAAGAGCUCGUAGGCGGUUUGUCGCGUCUGCUGUGAAAUCCCGAGGCUCAACCUCGGGUCUGCAGUGGGUACGGGCAGACUAGAGUGCGGUAGGGGAGAUUGGAAUUCCUGGUGUAGCGGUGGAAUGCGCAGAUAUCAGGAGGAACACCGAUGGCGAAGGCAGAUCUCUGGGCCGCUACUGACGCUGAGGAGCGAAAGGGUGGGGAGCAAACAGGCUUAGAUACCCUGGUAGUCCACCCCGUAAACGUUGGGCGCUAGAUGUGG
RNAcentral lists this ribosomal RNA (760 nucleotides) under Mycetocola sp. RNAcentral describes it as "bacterial SSU rRNA". It matches the Rfam family "Bacterial small subunit ribosomal RNA", at positions 54 to 825 of the family's 1533-position model. The record is from RNAcentral. Lineage: Bacteria; Bacillati; Actinomycetota; Actinomycetes; Micrococcales; Microbacteriaceae.